AUUGAACCGCUGGCGGAAUGCUUUACACAUGCAAGUCGAACGGCAGCACGGAGAGCUUGCUCUCUGGUGGCGAGUGGCGAACGGGUGAGUAAUAUAUCGGAACGUAUCCAGUAAUGGGGGAUAACGAGUCGAAAGAUUCGCUAAUACCGCAUACGCCCUACGGGGGAAAGCAGGGGAUCGUAAGACCUUGCGUUAAUGGAGCGGCCGAUAUCUGAUUAGCUUGUUGGUGAGGUAAAGGCUCACCAAGGCGACGAUCAGUAGCUGGUUUGAGAGAACGACCAGCCACACUGGAACUGAGACACGGUCCAGACUCCUACGGGAGGCAGCAGUGGGGAAUUUUGGACAAUGGGGGCAACCCUGAUCCAGCCAUUCCGCGUGAGUGAAGAAGGCCUUCGGGUUGUAAAGCUCUUUCGCAAGGGAAGAAAACUUAUGAUCGAAUAAAUCAUGAGGUUGACGGUACCUUGAUAAGAAGCACCGGCUAACUACGUGCCAGCAGCCGCGGUAAUACGUAGGGUGCGAGCGUUAAUCGGAAUUACUGGGCGUAAAGCGUGCGCAGGCGGUUUUGUAAGUCGGAUGUGAAAUCCCCGGGCUCAACCUGGGAACUGCGUUCGAAACUGCAAGGCUAGAGUGUGUCAGAGGGGGGUAGAAUUCCACGUGUAGCAGUGAAAUGCGUAGAGAUGUGGAGGAAUACCAAUGGCGAAGGCAGCCCC
This 710-nucleotide ribosomal RNA is filed under the name Pseudomonadota bacterium. RNAcentral describes it as "bacterial SSU rRNA". It matches the Rfam family "Bacterial small subunit ribosomal RNA", at positions 28 to 728 of the family's 1533-position model. Lineage: Bacteria; Pseudomonadati; Pseudomonadota. The record is from RNAcentral.